AUGCAGCCAAAGCAAGCCUUGUCCUGGUACCGGCGGCUGUCUGUGAUCUACGGGAUGGGCGCCUGGACUCUGUUUGGUUCUGCAUUUUACUUUUUCGGGAAGAAGAAGCCUUCAGAAGGUCAUGAAGUAGAACAAAAGGAUCUCCCAAGAAGUGAAAUUGUACCCGAACCCCUGAAAGGGUUUUAUGUGGAAACGAUUGUUGCAUAUGAUGAAGAUUAUACUUCACUUUCUGACAGGAUCCGUGACUUUGUGAAAAAAUGGACUGGUGAUUCUGGUUCAGAACCGUGAUUGGCUGCUGAAUUCUGAAAACAAGGACUUUGGCUCAGCAUUGAUACAUGAUAGGUGCCUUGAUUUCUAUUUUAUGUUUGUGGAAAGUAUAUAUUUAAUUAUGCAGUUAAAAAUGCAAUAAAUAUUUCCUUGAAAGAAACUAAACUUACAUAAUUCAAGAGAUAUUCCUCUCUAUAUGGGGAAAAGUUAAUGAAAUUUCAUAGAGGUUCCAUAAGCUGAGUUUUUUGAAAGUAGUGCAUGUGACUUUUUUGCAUGCUGCUGUUAAAGUCUUAGUGGUCCCUUUAAAGUUAGUCAGCAGCUGGGUGUAGUGGUACAUGCCGAUAAUUCCAGCACUCCAGAGACUGAGGCAGGUGCAUCACUGUAACUACAGAGACCCUAUCUCAAAAAACAAGAAACACUGCAAGUAACCAAGCCCCAGAUACCAGCAGCAGAGACCUCAGCUUCUCACAGGACAUGAGAGGUCAGAACAGGUCAGUUGGAUUAGUUUGGUUGGCAUCACACUGAUGAGCAAGAAACAUCACAGCAGUGGCCAGGGAAGGUUAGAGGGAAGGUCCCCUCAGUGGGAACAAUAGCAUGGCCUCGG
This 871-nucleotide long non-coding RNA is filed under the name Fukomys damarensis (Damara mole-rat). Its description in RNAcentral is "lncRNA (ENSFDAG00000029387.1)". The record is from RNAcentral. Lineage: Eukaryota; Metazoa; Chordata; Mammalia; Rodentia; Bathyergidae.